UUAUUGGAGAGUUUGAUCCUGGCUCAGGACGAACGCUGGCGGCAUGCCUAAUACAUGCAAGUCGAGCGGACUUGAAGAGAAGCUUGC
Molecule: ribosomal RNA, 87 nt
Filed under: Paenibacillus sp.
Lineage: Bacteria; Bacillati; Bacillota; Bacilli; Caryophanales; Paenibacillaceae
Also listed under: 3 other names
Description: partial 16S ribosomal RNA
Rfam family: Bacterial small subunit ribosomal RNA
Source: RNAcentral